RNAcentral lists this ribosomal RNA (253 nucleotides) under uncultured bacterium. RNAcentral's name for it is "partial 16S ribosomal RNA". It matches the Rfam family "Bacterial small subunit ribosomal RNA", at positions 524 to 776 of the family's 1533-position model. The record is from RNAcentral.
UACGGAGGGUGCAAGCGUUAAUCGGAAUUACCGGGCGUAAAGCGCACGCAGGUGGCUGAGUCAGUCGAUUGUGAAAGCCCUGGGCUUAACCUGGGAAUUGCAGUCGAUACUACUCAGCUAGAGUAUGGGAGAGGGCAGUGGAAUUCCCGGUGUAGCGGUGAAAUGCGUAGAUAUCGGGAGGAACAUCAGUGGCGAAGGCGGCUGCCUGGCCCAAUACUGACACUCAGGUGCGACAGCGUGGGGAGCAAACAGG